RNAcentral lists this ribosomal RNA (711 nucleotides) under uncultured Flavobacteriales bacterium. Its description in RNAcentral is "bacterial SSU rRNA". It matches the Rfam family "Bacterial small subunit ribosomal RNA", at positions 115 to 824 of the family's 1533-position model. The record is from RNAcentral. Lineage: Bacteria; Pseudomonadati; Bacteroidota; Flavobacteriia; Flavobacteriales.
GCGUAUACAAUCUACCUUUUACUGAGGAAUAGGCCAAAGAAAUUUGGAUUAAUGCCUCAUAGUAUUUUUCUAACACAUGUUAGAAUUCUUAAAGCUCCGGCGGUAAAAGAUGAGUAUGCGUGAUAUUAGCUAGUUGGUGAGGUAACUGCUCACCAAGGCAACGAUAUCUAGGGGGUCUGAGAGGAUUAUCCCCCACACUGGUACUGAGACACGGACCAGACUCCUACGGGAGGCAGCAGUGAGGAAUAUUGGGCAAUGGAGGCAACUCUGACCCAGCCAUGCCGCGUGAAGGAAGAAGGCCUUAUGGGUUGUAAACUUCUUUUAUUUGGGAAGAAACCUUUCUACGUGUAGAAAGCUGACGGUACCAAACGAAUAAGGACCGGCUAACUCCGUGCCAGCAGCCGCGGUAAUACGGAGGGUGCAAGCGUUGUUCGGAAUUAUUGGGCGUAAAGCGGAUGUAGGCGGUCUGUUAAGUCGGAUGUGAAAUCCCUGGGCUCAACCCAGGAACUGCAUUCGAUACUGGCAAACUAGAGUCUCGGAGGGGGUGGCGGAAUUCCCGGUGUAGAGGUGAAAUUCGUAGAUAUCGGGAGGAACACCAGUGGCGAAGGCGGCCACCUGGACGAUGACUGACGCUCAGAUCCGAAAGUGUGGGGAGCAAACAGGAUUAGAUACCCUGGUAGUCCACACCGUAAACGUUGGGUGCUCGUCGUA